GGCCAUAAUCCUCUCACGUACAAAGUUAGGUGACUACGGAAGCGUACGGGCCGAACCCGUAGUCGUUUCCAUUUCCUGCUUUCCCUUUGUUCGCUCUGCGACCACAGGAGGAAGUGAGGCUAGUAAUCUCUCUCCAUGGAUCUUUGAAUCCAUCCUAGGGUUCUUGCUGCUACAUUGGUUCCAUUCUCUGUGAAUGCUGUCCGGACGAUUGACUGGCUCGUAGGAGAUAUGCUCAUUGGCGAAUACUGUCUGGGUCGAGUGCAAGUAUUCUACUUGUUCCUGGUAAGACUAUAGCCUAACUUCAUGGAAACCUAACAGAGUUUUUUGUGAGGUUACUAGGGAGUGCCGCCUCCUGUACAUAAGGUGCUAAAAAGAGGAGUCUAUUCUUGUCACUGUAAUUUAAUAUCUAACAUAGUUGACUCCAAAGUUUUUUAAUCUCUCACUCCUUUUGGAAUGACAAUUAGCUUAGAUGGAUGAUAGGAUCGUUGGAAAACCUGCAUAUAUUAAAUGUUGAGUGUAAUUUAAUCUUUGGUGAUUGGUACACGAGGCCAGGGCUU
This is a non-coding RNA of Phoenix dactylifera (date palm), 557 nucleotides long. NCBI's taxonomy places the organism in Eukaryota, Viridiplantae, Streptophyta, Magnoliopsida, Arecales, Arecaceae. The record is from RefSeq and is a predicted model, not a curated record.